UGAGGAAUCUUCCACAAUGGACGAAAGUCUGAUGGAGCAACGCCGCGUGCAGGAUGAAGGCCUUAGGGUUGUAAACUGCUUUUAUGAGUGAAGAAUAUGACGGUAACUCAUGAAUAAGCACCGGCUAACUACGUGCCAGCAGCCGCGGUCAUACGUAGGGUGCAAGCAUUAUCCGGAGUGACUGGGCGUAAAGAGUUGCGUAGGUGGUUAUAUAAGUGAAUAGUGAAAUCUGGCGGCUCAACCGUACAGGCUAUUAUUCAAACUGUAUAACUCGAGAAUGGUAGAGGUAACUGGAAUUUCUAGUGUAGGAGUGAAAUCCGUAGAUAUUAGAAGGAACACCAAUGGCGUAGGCAGGUUACUGGACCAUUUCUGACACUGAGGCACGAAAGCGUGGGGAGCGAACCGG
Molecule: ribosomal RNA, 406 nt
Filed under: uncultured bacterium
Lineage: Bacteria
Description: bacterial SSU rRNA
Rfam family: Bacterial small subunit ribosomal RNA
Source: RNAcentral